This 1446-nucleotide ribosomal RNA is filed under the name uncultured organism. Its description in RNAcentral is "SSU rRNA". It matches the Rfam family "Bacterial small subunit ribosomal RNA". The record is from RNAcentral.
GCAGGCCUAACACAUGCAAGUCGAGCGGUAGCACAGAGCGCUUGCUCUCGGGUGACGAGCGGCGGACGGGUGAGUAAUGUCUGGGAAACUGCCUGAUGGAGGGGGAUAACUACUGGAAACGGUAGCUAAUACCGCAUAAUGUCGCAAGACCAAAGUGGGGGACCUUCGGGCCUCAUGCCAUCAGAUGUGCCCAGAUGGGAUUAGCUAGUAGGUGGGGUAACGGCUCACCUAGGCGACGAUCCCUAGCUGGUCUGAGAGGAUGACCAGCCACACUGGAACUGAGACACGGUCCAGACUCCUACGGGAGGCAGCAGUGGGGAAUAUUGCACAAUGGGCGCAAGCCUGAUGCAGCCAUGCCGCGUGUGUGAAGAAGGCCUUCGGGUUGUAAAGCACUUUCAGCGGGGAGGAAGGCGAUAAGGUUAAUAACCUUGGCGAUUGACGUUACCCGCAGAAGAAGCACCGGCUAACUCCGUGCCAGCAGCCGCGGUAAUACGGAGGGUGCAAGCGUUAAUCGGAAUUACUGGGCGUAAAGCGCACGCAGGCGGUCUGUCAAGUCGGAUGUGAAAUCCCCGGGCUCAACCUGGGAACUGCAUUCGAAACUGGCAGGCUAGAGUCUUGUAGAGGGGGGUAGAAUUCCAGGUGUAGCGGUGAAAUGCGUAGAGAUCUGGAGGAAUACCGGUGGCGAAGGCGGCCCCCUGGACAAAGACUGACGCUCAGGUGCGAAAGCGUGGGGAGCAAACAGGAUUAGAUACCCUGGUAGUCCACGCCGUAAACGAUGUCGAUUUGGAGGUUGUGCCCUUGAGGCGUGGCUUCCGGAGCUAACGCGUUAAAUCGACCGCCUGGGGAGUACGGCCGCAAGGUUAAAACUCAAAUGAAUUGACGGGGGCCCGCACAAGCGGUGGAGCAUGUGGUUUAAUUCGAUGCAACGCGAAGAACCUUACCUGGUCUUGACAUCCACAGAACUUUCCAGAGAUGGAUUGGUGCCUUCGGGAACUGUGAGACAGGUGCUGCAUGGCUGUCGUCAGCUCGUGUUGUGAAAUGUUGGGUUAAGUCCCGCAACGAGCGCAACCCUUAUCCUUUGUUGCCAGCGGUUCGGCCGGGAACUCAAAGGAGACUGCCAGUGAUAAACUGGAGGAAGGUGGGGAUGACGUCAAGUCAUCAUGGCCCUUACGACCAGGGCUACACACGUGCUACAAUGGCAUAUACAAAGAGAAGCGACCUCGCGAGAGCAAGCGGACCUCAUAAAGUAUGUCGUAGUCCGGAUUGGAGUCUGCAACUCGACUCCAUGAAGUCGGAAUCGCUAGUAAUCGUAGAUCAGAAUGCUACGGUGAAUACGUUCCCGGGCCUUGUACACACCGCCCGUCACACCAUGGGAGUGGGUUGCAAAAGAAGUAGGUAGCUUAACCUUCGGGAGGGCGCUUACCACUUUGUGAUUCAUGACUGGGG